CAGGGAAGUAUUUCUUCCAUAGUUCACGAACAACCGAUUUCACACGUCCAUAUUGCUUCAUGUGCUCUGCGACGAUAGGAUUUGGCAUUCCGGGUGGCAAAUCGUGAAUUCUCACAUUGGUGGAGGGAUCUUCUAUGAAGACAGGAAUUAGAAACUUUUUUGCUUCUACUUGAAUUGAGUGCUUCAGGUUAUGCGAAGCAGCCAAUGCUUCUGCUGUAUCCAUGCUACCGAACUCAAUAAAAACUUGUUUUCGGAUGCUAUGUA
Long non-coding RNA from Aedes albopictus (Asian tiger mosquito), 264 nucleotides. RefSeq lists it as uncharacterized. The record is from RefSeq and is a predicted model, not a curated record. The transcript is spliced from 2 exons. Lineage: Eukaryota; Metazoa; Arthropoda; Insecta; Diptera; Culicidae.